Molecule: ribosomal RNA, 495 nt
Filed under: uncultured bacterium
Lineage: Bacteria
Description: partial 16S ribosomal RNA
Rfam family: Bacterial small subunit ribosomal RNA
Source: RNAcentral
GAUGAACGCUGGCGGCGUGCCUAAUACAUGCAAGUAGAACGCUGAAGGAGGAGCUUGCUCUUCUGGAUGAGUUGCGAACGGGUGAGUAACGCGUAGGUAACCUGCCUGGUAGCGGGGGAUAACUAUUGGAAACGAUAGCUAAUACCGCAUGACAACAGUUAUUGCAUGAUAACUGUUUAAAAGAGGCAACUGCUCCACUACCAGAUGGACCUGCGUUGUAUUAGCUAGUUGGUGAGGUAACGGCUCACCACGGCGACGAUACAUAGCCGACCUGGGAGGGGGAACGGGCACACUGGGACUGAGAAACGGGCCCGACUCCUACGGGAGGCAGCAGUAGGGAAUCUUCGGCAAUGGACGGAAGUCUGACCGAGCAACGCCGCGUGAGUGAAGAAGGUUUUCGGAUCGUAAAGCUCUGUUGUAAGAGAAGAACGAGUGUGAGAGUGGAAAGUUCACACUGUGACGGUAUCUUACCAGAAAGGGACGGCUAACUACGUG